GCAGUUUUUCUUUGCUUUUUCUUCAAGCGAUUGUUGUCGCUCUUUACUCCUUGUUCUUUCCUCUACAAAUCUCCUGUAGUCGUCGAGGGCCUUCAUAAUGGCUGUGAAAUUGGCUGCACACUGUAAAACUCCGUGUUUGAGAGUGCUUUGAAGAUUCUUCGCGUCCUGAUGGAUCAAAGUACGAGCGCUCCCUGUGGAUUCGAUUAUAUGUAGGAAGUGACUGUCUGGUGUAUCUGCACCAGAUCCUGGGGACAUGAAGUCAGAUGCAGAGGCAGGGUCGUCCAGUGAUGCAACACUGCCGUUCUAUGUACAACGUCGCCGCUAAUUCCCCCCGGCGAAAACACAAAAAGACAAACACGUCAAGAGACUA
This is a long non-coding RNA of Sycon ciliatum, 370 nucleotides long. RefSeq lists it as uncharacterized. The transcript is spliced from 2 exons. NCBI's taxonomy places the organism in Eukaryota, Metazoa, Porifera, Calcarea, Leucosolenida, Sycettidae. The record is from RefSeq and is a predicted model, not a curated record.